GCUACGGGAGGCAGCAGUGGGGAAUAUUGCACAAUGGGGGAAACCCUGAUGCAGCGACGCCGCGUGAAGGAUGAAGUAUUUCGGUAUGUAAACUUCUAUCAGCAGGGAAGAAAAUGACGGUACCUUACUAAGAAGCCCCGGCUAACUACGUGCCAGCAGCCGGGGUAAUACGUAGGGGGCAAGCGUUAUCCGGAUUUAAUGGGUGUAAAGGGGGCGUAGAAGGUAUGGCAAGUCUGAUUUGAAAACCCGGGGCGCAACCCCGUGACUGCAUUGGAAACUGCCGAACUAGAGUGUCGGAGAGUCAAGUGGAAUUCCUAUUGUAGCGGUGAAAUGCGUAGAUAUUAGGAGGAACCCCAGUGGCGAAGGCGGCUUGCUGUACGAUGACUGACGUUGAGGCUCGAAAGCGUGGGGAGCAAACAGGAUUAGAUACCCCAGUAGUC
This 440-nucleotide ribosomal RNA is filed under the name uncultured bacterium. RNAcentral describes it as "partial 16S ribosomal RNA". It matches the Rfam family "Bacterial small subunit ribosomal RNA", at positions 338 to 795 of the family's 1533-position model. The record is from RNAcentral.